RNAcentral lists this long non-coding RNA (3843 nucleotides) under Ananas comosus (pineapple). Its description in RNAcentral is "long non-coding RNA (ACOM_LNC041993)". Lineage: Eukaryota; Viridiplantae; Streptophyta; Magnoliopsida; Poales; Bromeliaceae. The record is from RNAcentral.
GAGGGCCGAGGCGGCGUCCAUAAAUCGCGGGGUUGGAUUUCGAGUGUCGUAGCAAGAAACCGAAGACCUUUAAUUACCGGAUCGCGGAUCGGAGGUCGUUUGGUGGUCGCGCGUGGAUUGGGUCAAGCCGAGCGGCGUGCGCCGCGGGAGGCCGAUUGCGAGUGACGACGAGCAAUCGGAACGCGAUAAAAGGUGGGGGGUGUCCAUCCCGAAGCAACUGAUGUAAUAUAUCGAACUUCGAAUUCAUGAAGUUACGAUGUAUGUUAGCCUAGAGAGCCAUUGGAAUCAUUCCGGCGAAGUUCGGGAGCAUUCGGGUGCUUCGGUGCGCAUAGGGCGCGAAAACGGGACCCGAAAGGCUAUGUUGGACCGUGGACUAAAUCCGGCAUUAGCGUGGAUGAAAAGAUGAUGAAAACAUGCUUGAAAACAUGUUUGGAGAGUCUCGGUUCGAUUUGAAAUGAAUCGGAUGUCAAACGAGCGAAAACGAGUGAAAACGGAGCGAAAACGGUGAAAAAGCUGAAAAUUUGGCUAAGUCCUUGAAGGCUGAUUUCUGGACCUUCGGGGACCGGUCUCUCAGCCAAGGACCGGUCUCUCAGGGACCGGUCCCUCAUCGCAAGGACCGGUCCCCGAAGCCCGAAAAUGCCCAGUUCGGGCUGUUGCAAGAGAUGCAUUGUUGAGGGGCUUAUUGGCAUUUUGUGCAUGGGUUAAGUGUAUAGAGAGGAGUAGAACCUCUCUUUCUCUCUUUCCCUCACCGUAUCAUCCCCAAACCUCUCCUCUCUCUCUCUAGAAAGGAAAAGAGGAAGGAGAAGAGAAGAAAAGAGAAGAAGAGAAGAAGAAAAGGAAGGAGAAGAAGACAAGGAGGAGAAUGUCACCCUCAUCUUCUCCCUCCUUGCAAUGGAGCAAGCUUCUUGAGGUAAGCUUCUUGAAGCUCUAAUGGUAGAUCUUCAUGGCUAUGGUUAUAUGCUCUAAGAAUGGAUUUAGUGGAACCCAUUGAUGCUAAAUAGAUGGUUUAUGCUUGAUUCAUGAGAUGAAUUGGAGUAUUUUGCUAUAUUUGCAUCUAGGGCUCCAAAAAGAGGGUUUUUAUAAAUAGUUGGGUUUGAUCUCAAUUGACCCUCUGUAAACCUAAUUGGGGACCAAACGAACGCGAUGGAACACUCGGUUCGACGAUUCGACGAGUGUACGCAAAGUUAUUGACGAAACAAUCUGUUUUGGUACAGAUAGCCGCAGCACGCAGGAUAAGCCUCCAAAAAUCAUGAAAAUGGAUCGGGAGUAUCGUGGUGUCGGGGAAUAAACUCCCGAACAGACGGAUUGCGGAUUGGUGGCCGUUCGGGUGGUCGCGCAAGAGUUCGGGCCAAACCGGGUCACGGGUGCCGCGGGAGGCCGAUUGCAAGUGACUACAAGCAAUCGGAACGCGUUAAAAGGUGGGUUGUGCUCACCGAAGCGAUUAGGUCGCUUUCCGUGCCAAAGUGUAGUAUGUUUACUAUUGAUGCAUGAUAAAGUAUGCUAUUUGAGAAUGCAUGAUAAAGUGUGCUAUUUAAGAAUGCAUGAUAAAGAUAGAUGCCAAAUGAAUGCAUGAGUUGAUGUUAAUUUACAUGUGCAUAUUAUAGAAAUGCUAAACAGAUGUCAAAUGAAAGUAUGAGAUUUAUACUAAUCGAGAAUGCAUGUAGUAAAUGUUAACGAAUGCAUAAAAUGCUAAGUAAUGACUACCAAUGGAUGACAAAAUAUAUGCAUGUUGAACAUAGAUUGAGUGGCAUUCGAAAUGGUAAAGUGGACACUAGAGUUAGUGUGGGACAACAAAGAAUAAAUGUGAUGUAAAGAAUAAUGAUAAUGGCUAAAGAUAAUGAAAAACAAUGUGAUGAUAAUAAUAUAAUGUUGCAUGAUGUGAGUACACGUGCUUAUUAGAAUGAUUAAGAAUCUAAAUAAUCUAUGUGUAUGCAUGAGAUGUAAUGUGAGAACCUAAUGAUAAUGGCUUGAGACAAGGCAAAGCAAUGUGAUGUAAAGAAUAAUGAUAAUGGCUAGAGGCGAUGUAAAGUAAUGUGGCAUAAAGAACAAGCAAAGUGUAAAGAACAAUGAUAAUGGCUAGAGUUAGCAACCAAUGUGACAUGAAGCACCCUAGAGUUAGUGUGUGGCAACAAAAGAACAAGUGUGGUAUCAAGAAUGACAAUUACUAGAGUAAUUGACAAGUGGGGUGUAAAGAACAAUGAUUGCUAGAGUUAGCAACUAAUGUGAUGUAAAGAACACUAAAGUUAGUGUAAAGCCAUGAUUCAACUACAUAUCCUUAGAGUUAAGGAUUGAUCAUACUUGCUAUGAGUUCCGUGCUUGAGGGCGGUAGCUCCCCCUCAAGCGAUGCGCUCCGGAGUUAUGCAUCACGGGUUGGAGUAAACCCGAAGGACGGUCCUAGCUGGUGAGUUCCUGCGAUGAUGGACUUAAUGUGAAGCAAGUUAAUGUGGCGAAACCCCCGGGUUAGCCGUGAGAUUAAAGAACAAAGAACAAAAAGGAAUCAUGAAUUGGAAAGUGGAUCUUGUAUUCAUUAUGAAUGGACUCAAGACCGAGUCGAGUGGCAUAGUUGGCUAAGGUAAAGGUAACAAUUGUGAAAGAAUGACAAUUGAGAAAGAAUGACAAUUGAGAAACGUUUGUUAAUGUUAUAAAGAAUGGCAAAAGUGUAUAAUGCGCCUAAGGUGCGAGUGCCCUUAGCAAAGAAUAAAGAAUAAAGAAUAGAGAAUAGAGAAUAAAGAAUAAAGAGUAAAGAAUGGCUAAUGAUAAAGAAUAGCAAAUUCUAAAGAAAGGCUAAUGGUAAAGAAUGACUAAGAGUUGCAUAAUUUGCAUAUUUGUGAGGCAUGAACAUGUAUUGCAUGAUGUUAUAUGUAUAUAUAUCUGUUGGACUAACAUGUUGCAGUGCCUCCUUUGGACCUGGUGGGUUGAGCUCUUCCCUUGGGUGGCUGUACCCACCGAGGACUAUGGACAAUAGUCUCACCCCCGUGUUGUUGUUUUUGGGGGUACAGGUUCACACGCGAGCGGCGCGGCGGCGCGAGGAAAGGGCGUAGCUCUGUAGUUAGCGCCCUACCACAGAGACCAGAUAGCAGCACCCUGAGUCUGGUUCUUAGGGGUAUAAGAAAAGAAAAGAAAAGAAAAGAGUCGAUGUUGUAAUAUUAUGUUUAUAAUCGAUUGUAUAUUUGGAAGUUGAGGAUCAAUGUAAUGAAAAAUGCGAUAUAAAAUGAUGAGAUGAAUGAUUGUAAUAACAUAGGAUGUGUUAUGUUGUUUGAUACCUUCCUUAUGCAAUCGUUGUUGAAAAUUGUUCCUGUUUGGAACCUCUUGUACUUGUAUUAAUUGCGACGCCUUGAAUGUACAGGGGAGACUCUGUCCGCGUGCAUGGGAAACCCUGUCCGUUCGGCGGUCUGUUGGCGUGCCCGAAUCCGACCAAAGGGGCGGGCUCGGGGCGUGACAACUGAGCUUCUUCCUAUGUCUUAGUGCUUAUUCGAUUGGCAUAUAGCAUAUCGUAUAUUGUUAUGCAUUAUAGGGUGAUGAUACAUGCAUUCCUACUCCUUGUAUGAUGUCUAUGAUUAAUAUAGUAUUAUGAUAUGGAUAUUUGAUGUAAUGGACAUAAGGAUUAGGAGAUGACAUUGGUAAACCUAUGAUGCUAAAUGAAAGAGGAACCUAGUGUUGUAUCUAAAGACAUAGUUUACUAGUGGCAUUGGACUUAGUGUGAUAGAAAUACAUAUAACUUGUACCUAGUAUGCAUGAGAUUGGGACAUAGUGUUGUGAAACCCUAUAAUGGCAUGAUUAAUGUGGAUUAAACUCUAGUUGAGUGACGACCUAGUGAAUAUGUGCAAAUAGUGCAUCGAGAAC